UCCGCUUGAUCCUGGCGGACCCAACUGCUGUCGGGGUGAGACUAAGCCAUGCAAGUUGCGCGUCUUCUAGCUAUGUUGAAGACGCAGCGUACGGCUCAGUAACAUGUGGCUAACUUACCCUCGGGACUGGAAUAACCCCGGGAAACUGGGGGUAAUUCUUGAUAGGUAGAGAGGCCUGGAAUGGUUCUUUGUUGAAAAGGGGUCAAACACAUGCUGUUUGAUCUUGCCCGAGGAUAGGGCCGCACCCGAUCAGGUUGCUGGUGAGGUAAUGGCUCACCAGGCCUAUAACCGGUACGGGCCGUGAGAGCGGGAGCCCGGAGAUGGGCACUGAGAUAAGGGCCCAGGUCCUACGGGACGCAGCAGGCGCGAAAACUCCGCAAUGCGCGGAAGCGUGACGGGGUCACCCCGAGUGCCAUCCGCUGAGGGUGGCUUUUGCCCGGUUUAAUGAGCCGGGUGAAUAAGGGGAGGGCAAGCCUGGUGUCAGCCGCCGCGGUAAUACCAGCUCCCCGAGUGGUUGGGAUGAUUAUUGGGUUUAAAGCGUUCGUAGCCGGUCGGAAAAGUCCUCCGUUAAAUCCAACGAUCCAAUCGUUGGGCUGCGGGGAAUACUCUUCGGCUUGGGGGCGGGGGAGGUCGACGGUAGUCCCGGGGUAGGGGCGAAAUCCUAUAAUCCCGGGAGGACCACCAGUGGCGUAGGCGGUCGACUAAAACGCGCCCGACGGUGAGGGACGAAAGCUGGGGGAGCGAACGGGAUUAGAUACCCCGGUAGUCCCAGCUGUAAACGAUGCAGGCUAGGUGUUGGGACGGCCACGAGCCGUCUCAGUGCCGCAGGGUAACCAUUAAGCCUGCCACCUGGGAAGUACGGCCGCAAGGCUGAAACUUAAAGGAAUUGGCGGGGGAGCACCACAAGGGGUGAAGCUUGCGGUUUAAUUGGAGUCAACACCGGGAACCUUACCAGGAGCGACAGUUGGAUGAAGGUCAGAUUGAAGGUCUUACCGGACUAGCUGAGAGGAGGUGCAUGGCCGUCGCCAGUUCGUGCCGUGAGGUGUCCUCUUAAGUGAGACAACGAACGAGACCCGUGCCACCAGUUGCCAGCGGUUUCCUUCGGGAUUCCGGGCACACUGAUGGGACUGCCUCCGCUAAGGAGGAGGAAGGAGCGGGCCACGGCAGGUCAGUAUGCCCCAAAUCUCCUGGGCCACACGCGAGCUGCAAUGGCUGGUACAAUGGGAUCUGACCUCGAAAGAGGGAAGCAAUCUUCAAAACCAGCCUCAGUUGGGAUCGAGGGCUGAAACCCGCCCUCGUGAACAUGGAAUCCCUAGUAACCGCGUGUCAUCAUCGCGCGGUGAAUACGUCCCUGCUCCUUGCACACACCGCCCGUCGCUCCAUCCGAGUUUGGUCUGGGCGAGGCGUGAUCGUCUUGGUCACGUCGAGCCUAAGCUAGGCAAGGGGGGAGAAGUCGUAACAAGGUG
Molecule: ribosomal RNA, 1466 nt
Filed under: metagenome
Description: bacterial SSU rRNA
Rfam family: Archaeal small subunit ribosomal RNA
Source: RNAcentral